CCUACGGGAGGCAGCAGUAGGGAAUAUUGCACAAUGGGGGAAACCCUGAAGCAGCAACGCCGCGUGGAGGAUGAAGGUUUUCGGAUUGUAAACUCCUGUUGUUAGAGAAGAUUAUGACGGUAACCAACGAAGAAAGCCCGGCUAAAUUCGGGCCAGCAGCCGCGGUAAUAAGGAGGGUGGAAGCGUUAGUCGGAAUCACUUGGCGUAAAGGGCGCGGAGGGGGGGUGGCAAGUCAGAUGUGAAAUCCUAUGGCUUAACCUUGGAACUGGAAUUGAUACUGGUAUUCUUGAGUAUGGUAGAGGUAGGUGGAAUUCUUGGUGUAGGGGUAAAAUGCGUAGAGAUCAAGAGGAAUACUCGUGGCGAAGGCGACCAGCUGGAACUUAACUGACGCUGAUGCUCGAAAGUGUGGGGAGCAAACAGGAUUAGAUACCCGAGUAGUC
This 440-nucleotide ribosomal RNA is filed under the name uncultured bacterium. Its description in RNAcentral is "partial 16S ribosomal RNA". It matches the Rfam family "Bacterial small subunit ribosomal RNA", at positions 338 to 795 of the family's 1533-position model. The record is from RNAcentral.